RNAcentral lists this unclassified non-coding RNA (524 nucleotides) under Nectriopsis sp. MK1-2020. Its description in RNAcentral is "sequence contains 18S rRNA gene, ITS1, 5.8S rRNA gene, ITS2, 28S rRNA gene". The stretch from base 217 to 370 matches the Rfam family "5.8S ribosomal RNA". Lineage: Eukaryota; Fungi; Ascomycota; Sordariomycetes; Hypocreales; Bionectriaceae. The record is from RNAcentral.
UUGGAAGUAAAGUCGUAACAAGUCUCCGUUGGUGAACCAGCGGAGGGAUCAUUAUUGAGUUCUAUAACUCCCAAACCUUUGUGAACAUACCAUUGUUGCUUCGGCGGACUCGUCCCGGGCGCGCUCUCGAGCGUGAUCCGGAGCCAGGCGGCCGCCGAGGAUACCAAACUCCUGUUUUUAUAGUGGAAUUCUGAGUAUCAUGAGUAAAUAAAUCAAAACUUUCAGCAACGGAUCUCUUGGUUCUGGCAUCGAUGAAGAACGCAGCGAAAUGCGAUAAGUAAUGUGAAUUGCAGAAUUCAGUGAAUCAUCGAAUCUUUGAACGCACAUUGCGCCCUUCAGUAUUCUGAAGGGCAUGCCUGUCCGAGCGUCAUUUCAACCCUCAGGACCCGUUCGCGGGGACUGGUGUUGGGGAUCGGCCUCCCUCCGGGGGCCGGCCCCGAAAUGUAGUGGCGGCUCUACCGCGAUCUCCUCUGUGUAGUAGCGAUACCUCGCAGCUGGAUAGCGGUUUUGCCACGCCGUAAAAC